Molecule: transfer RNA, 82 nt
Filed under: Streptococcaceae bacterium
Lineage: Bacteria; Bacillati; Bacillota; Bacilli; Lactobacillales; Streptococcaceae
Also listed under: 1 other name
Description: tRNA-Leu
Rfam family: tRNA
About the family: Transfer RNA (tRNA) molecules are approximately 80 nucleotides in length. Their secondary structure includes four short double-helical elements and three loops (D, anti-codon, and T loops).
Source: RNAcentral
GCGGAUUUGGCGGAAUUGGCAGACGCGCUAGAUUUAGGUUCUAGUACCGAGAGGUGUGGGGGUUCAAGUCCCUUAAUCCGCA